GCCAGAGGAGCUGGGGCAGUCACGUGCCACUGCACUGCACAUGGGCAGGCAGGGCGAGCUGGGAGGCGUGGCAAACAGGAUCAACCAGCAGGAGGUGGAGACUGUACUGGUCAACUGCCAGCCAAGGAAAAUCAGGAGCCAUGAUCUUCCCACCCGCUGCCUGAUGGGAAAUGGAGUCUCUUUACAUGAAAAGUAAGAGGCCAGUCUCCCUGCCUCCUGCCCUUUGGGAAACGUAGUCCACGGCCUCUAAGUCCUACCUUCCGAUCUGAUGCUUCAGCUCUCAGUGCCAUAAAAGCCAAAGAAACAUGGCGAAAUUCACAUUGAGGUUGAAUGUUACUCCACAAAAUUGAGUUUCAGCACCAAAGGAGCCUGAACCCCUGGACCCACCUCCAGGCUCACUCACCACCACAUAAUCCUCCAUCGUAGUGUCCAGCAGCUCAAGGGAACUGAAGAAUGUCACCAGGGAGGGGACAACACCCUGUGCCGCCAUCGGGAUGGGCAUGGUGAUGAGCUCCCAAUCUCAGGAAAGAGUGAGGAGAACUCCACCUGCCUCCAGCGCUCUCCUAGGACUUCCUGUCAUCUGACUGUCAUCACUGCUCUCCCCUCAGCUCUCGAGGAGGAGCCAGCACAAAUCUCCUCCCAUUCCUGUCAUCCCUUGGACGGUAUCACCCCACCGUGAGGCCUGCACCACGUCAUCUCCCUCCAUUUCCCAGAGGAGGAGACCGAGGCCCACAGAGGGGCAGAGACUUGCUCAAGGACCCACUGAGGAGAGGCCACUCUCCGUCCCAGCCAGAGUCCCUGUCCCCACUGCCUUCACCCCUCGCCCUGCCCCACCACUGACCACGGUCCUGACCUCUGCACUCCCAGAGUGUGUCCCAACAAUAGCCAAACUGAGAUGUGGAGGGAGAGGGCAGAGGGUGUUGGUGGUGGCCGUGUGGCAUCUCCUUCCUGCCCCAUCCACAGGGGUCUCUGAACCCCAGGAUGGCCUUACCAUAGCCUCAGUUCCUAGGAUGCCCUCAGGAUGUUCCCGGCUCCCUCACACACCCCUCCUCCCAGAUCUCCAGCCCCAGGUUACCUUCAGGAGCAGUCUCAUGCUCACGUGCUGCUCUCCCCUGCACCACUUCUUAAAGGUGUAGGAUCUCUCCCUGGGGGAGUGGGGAAAGAAAGAAAGAAAGACUAUGGGAUGGUUGAAGGGCAAAUCCCAUUUGUUUUAGAUCCCAAAAGAUCCAAACAGCCUGGGGCCUGGAUGAGGGAUUUCACUGGGUUGCUCUGAGCCCCGAGGUCCCCAUGGGACUGGGGAGGGGCCUCUCCUGUUGUCACCUGGGGCCUCCAUUCCCAUAUCUACCACACAGAUCUGUUUUGAACACUCUUGGUUUCAGUUGGAUGGAGAUUUCUGUUGCUGCAAAGGAAAAACACUUGAGAAUCUCCAACUGGGCUCAAGUCAGGAUCUGAUAUUGAAGGAAAUGAGUUCCUGGGCAGAACCGCUGGCCUAAGGGCCCUGAGAGGCUCAGAGACCCAGGAACUGGAUCAGUCUGUGUCCCAGGCAUUCACUGUCUCCCAGGUGGUCUCAGCUGACUGCGGGGGCCAUGGCGACCCAUUGCCGGCUGCCAGGUCCACCUCCCCCUCGUGGUGCUUGGAUAGAGAGCAGCCUACCCACCUGGAUACUUGUCCCCAGGUGUCUUUGAGACGCUUAAUGGCAGGGCUCUGCAGAGCAGAAAGGAUCAUGUGU
This is a long non-coding RNA of Equus asinus (donkey), 1729 nucleotides long. The record is from Ensembl. NCBI's taxonomy places the organism in Eukaryota, Metazoa, Chordata, Mammalia, Perissodactyla, Equidae.